This 342-nucleotide ribosomal RNA is filed under the name uncultured bacterium. RNAcentral describes it as "bacterial SSU rRNA". It matches the Rfam family "Bacterial small subunit ribosomal RNA", at positions 29 to 353 of the family's 1533-position model. The record is from RNAcentral.
AGCGAACGUUAGCGGCGGGCCUAACACAUGCAAGUCGAACGAGAAUAGGGGAGCAAUCCCCUUAGUAAAGUGGCGGACGGGUGCGUAACACGUGGGUGAUCUACCUUCCGGCGGGGGACAACAGUCCGAAAGGAUUGCUAAUACCGCGUACGUCAGCGAGGUCUCCGGACCUUGCUGGGAAAGAUGGCCUCUCUUUAGAAGCUGUCACCGGAAGAUGAGCCCGCGGCCCAUCAGCUAGUUGGGAGGUAACGGCUCACCAAGGCUAAGACGGGUAGCUGGUCUGAGAGGAUGAUCAGCCACACUGGGACUGCGACACGGCCCAGACUCCUACGGGAGGCAGCA